Molecule: ribosomal RNA, 465 nt
Filed under: uncultured bacterium
Lineage: Bacteria
Description: partial 16S ribosomal RNA
Rfam family: Bacterial small subunit ribosomal RNA
Source: RNAcentral
CGAACGCUGGCGGCGUGCUUACCACAUGCAAGUCGAACGGAAAGGCCCUGCUUUUGUGGGGUGCUCGAGUGGCGAACGGGUGAGUAACACGUGAGUAACCUGCCCUUGACUUUGGGAUAACUUCAGGAAACUGGGGCUAAUACCGGAUAGGAGCUCCUGCUGCAUGGUGGGGGUUGGAAAGUUUCGGCGGUUGGGGAUGGACUCGCGGCUUAUCAGCUUGUUGGUGGGGUAGUGGCUUACCAAGGCUUUGACGGGUAGCCGGCCUGAGAGGGUGACCGGCCACAUUGGGACUGAGAUACGGCCCAGACUCCUACGGGAGGCAGCAGUGGGGAAUAUUGCACAAUGGGCGGAAGCCUGAUGCAGCAACGCCGCGUGCGGGAUGAAGGCCUUCGGGUUGUAAACCGCUUUCGCCUGUGACGAAGCGUGAGUGACGGUAAUGGGUAAAGAAGCACCGGCUAACUACGU